Mustela erminea (ermine) is the source of this 1833-nucleotide long non-coding RNA. RefSeq lists it as uncharacterized. The record is from RefSeq and is a predicted model, not a curated record. The transcript is spliced from 3 exons. Lineage: Eukaryota; Metazoa; Chordata; Mammalia; Carnivora; Mustelidae.
AGUAACUUGUGACUUAAACUCACCAAAUUGUCAUACACUCAAAAUGUCUUUGAUUUAGAAAUGCUAAUCAUUGUCUUUCUCUCAACAGAACUGGUUAGGUUGAAGAGAGGGCUCCAAGCCUUGACCAAGAGGCCCAUUGUGAUCGCUGCCUUUGUCCACAGCUGGUGCUACUUGACGGUGAGCCUAGUAUCGAUUAGGUCAAGCUCAACAUGCUCAGCCUUCACCAGGGAUUUUUUACUGGACGCAAAUGGAAUAGUUGGAGUCAGAGAGCUGCCCUAUGUCUAUAAAAAUGCACAAAAUAACCUUAUGGAAGAAGGAAGCCCAAAGGCAGAGAAUUCUUCUGAAAUAACCUGAUUCAUAGAUAAAGCUAUAUGAUUCUAAAAGUUUGGGGACCACUAGUUUCCUGGCCUCCAAAUGAUGAAGUUCUCCAGAGCUUGAUAUUUUUCUUUUUUUGUGUUUGUACUCUCCCAGGUGAUCUCACCUAGCCCUAGUGCUCAUGACUCCAAAAUUUAUACAUUCAGCCCAGAUGUCUGCAUUCGUCAUUCUGUUCCAAAUAUCCAUAUUCCCACUUAAUAUCUUCACCUGGAUGUCUAAAAGUACCUCAGACUUAACAUCCAAAUAAGAAUUCUUGAUUGCCACAACCCUCACACCUCCCAUAAAUGGCACCUUGUCCAGACCACACCAGCUAUUCAGCCAAAAAAUUUCACUGAAUAGCUGUAUGAUUUCAAAGCCUGAGAAUUCAACAAUGAACCAAAAUGAAAAGAGUGCUGUCAUGCAGCGUACAUUCUUGGGGAGGGGGAGGGGAAUACAACAAAAAAUUUAGAAGUAAGUAGAUAUCUUGUGUUUAUAUGUAUCCACAUUUAUCUAAGUUGAGCGCUAUUGAGAAAAAUAAGAGGAAUGGAUAGGAAGUGUGGGGUGGUGUGUUUUGUGUUAUCUCUCCUUUCCAGCUUUCAAAAUUUUGUCAUUAGUGUCUCCUCUUUUGUUGUGAUUGUCUUUGUGAGUCCAUGGGCUUAAAAUAAUUCAUUAACUGUCACUUAGUGGAGUUUGAGGAGAGUGCUAAAAGAAACACAUGUGUUCAAUCUUCCAUCUUCACCUAGAAGUUGAAGGGUAUUAAGGGAAAGUCUUUAUGAGAAGAUGAUAUUCAAGCAGAAACCCGAAAGAAGCAAGGAGGUAAGCCAUGUAGAUAUCUAAAAUAAGAGCAGUUCAGAUGGAGGGAGCUGCAAGUGAGAAAGGUCCUAAAGUAGGAGUGUACUUAAUGUGUUCAAGGAACAGCAAGGAGUCGUGUUGCUGAAGUGGAGUUGAGAGGUGGGAUAGAAGGGGAAGGUGGUCAGGAAACAAGAUUGAGAGGUGGCAAGGGACCAGAUCAUUUAUUGGAGGCCAUGGUAAGGAUUUUGAUUUUUAGUCACAACGAAAUGGAAAGGCCUUGGAAGAGUUUAACUAGACAUUAUUAAAAUUAUGUUUUAAAUAAAUCACUCUAGCUUCUGCAUAAUAUCUUGUAGGCAGAUGAAGACAGAAGCAGAAACACCAGUUAGGAGUGUGUAGGCAAGAGAUGAUGAUGACGUGGGCUAGAGUGGUAGCAAUAAAGGUGGUGAGAAGUAGUAGAAGUCCAGAUAUGAUUUGAAGUUAGAGCCAACAGAAUUUUACUGAUGGAUUGUACAACAGAAGUGUCAGGUAUAUUUCAAGGUUUUUGACUUAAACAAAGAGUUAUGAUGUUACUGAAAUGAUGAUGGUUGUAGGUGGAACAGAUAUGGGAGGGGUGCAGGGAGAUAGCAGCUCAGUUAGACAUUAAUUUGAAAUAAAUGCUCAACAACUAAAUGGUGAUGUCAAGUGAUU